Molecule: ribosomal RNA, 606 nt
Filed under: Magnaporthaceae sp. DR10-3
Lineage: Eukaryota; Fungi; Ascomycota; Sordariomycetes; Magnaporthales; Magnaporthaceae
Description: SSU rRNA
Rfam family: Eukaryotic small subunit ribosomal RNA
Source: RNAcentral
CUGCCAGUAGUCAUAUGCUUGUCUUAAAGAUUAAGCCAUGCAUGUCUAAGUAUAAGCAAUUAUACAGCGAAACUGCGAAUGGCUCAUUAAAUCAGUUAUCGUUUAUUUGAUAGUACCUUACUACAUGGAUAACCGUGGUAAUUCUAGAGCUAAUACAUGCUGAAAACCCCGACUUCGGAAGGGGUGUAUUUAUUAGAUUAAAAACCAAUGCCCUUCGGGGCUCACUGGUGAUUCAUGAUAACUUCUCGAAUCGCACGGCCUUGCGCCGGCGAUGGUUCAUUCAAAUUUCUGCCCUAUCAACUUUCGACGGCUGGGUCUUGGCCAGCCGUGGUGACAACGGGUAACGGAGGGUUAGGGCUCGACCCCGGAGAAAACGCCUGAGAAACGGCGUUUACAUCCAAGGAAGGCAGCAGGCGCGCAAAUUACCCAAUGCCGACACGGCGAGGUAGUGACGAGAAAUACUGAUACAGGGCUCUUUUGGGUCUUGUAAUUGGAAUGAGUACAAUUUAAAUCUCUUAACGAGGAACAAUUGGAGGGCAAGUCUGGUGCCAGCAGCCGCGGUAAUUCCAGCUCCAAUAGCGUAUAUUAAAGUUGUUGCAGUUAAAA